Molecule: non-coding RNA, 27 nt
Filed under: Homo sapiens (human)
Lineage: Eukaryota; Metazoa; Chordata; Mammalia; Primates; Hominidae
Source: RNAcentral
GCGGGGCAGAGAGUUUGCAGAACAGGU